GGACUGGGAUAACCCUGGGAAACUGGGGCUAAUACCGGAUAGGCAAUUUUUCCUGGAAUGGUUUUUUGUUUAAAUGUUUUUUCACCUAAGGAUGGGUCUGCGGCCGAUUAGGUAGUUGGUUAGGUAAUGGCUUACCAAGCCGUUGAUCGGUACGGGUUGUGAGAGCAAGAGCCCGGAGAUGGAACCUGAGACAAGGUUCCAGGCCCUACGGGGUGCAGCAGGCGCGAAACCUCCGCAAUGUGAGAAAUCGCGACGGGGGGAUCCCAAGUGCCAUUCUUAACGGGAUGGCUUUUCAUUAGUGUAAAGAGCUUUUGGAAUAAGAGCUGGGCAAGACCGGUGCCAGCCGCCGCGGUAACACCGGCAGCUCUAGUGGUAACAAUUUUUAUUGGGCCUAAAGCGUCCGUAGCCGGUUUAAUAAGUCUCUGGUGAAAUCCUGUAGCUUAACUGUGGGAAUUGCUGGAGAUACUAUUAGACUUGAGACCGGGAGAGGUUAGAGGUACUCCCAGGGUAGAGGUGAAAUUCUGUAAUCCUGGGAGGACCGCCUGUUGCGAAGGCGUCUAACUGGAACGGUUCUGACGGUGAGGGACGAAAGUUAGGGGCGCGAACCGGAUUAGAUACCCGGGUAGUCCUAACUGUAAACGAUGCGGACUUGGUGUUGGGGUGGCUUUGAGCUGCUCCAGUGCCGAAGGGAAGCUGUUAAGUCCGCCGCCUGGGAAGUACGGUCGCAAGACUGAAACUUAA
Molecule: ribosomal RNA, 741 nt
Filed under: uncultured archaeon
Lineage: Archaea
Description: bacterial SSU rRNA
Rfam family: Archaeal small subunit ribosomal RNA
Source: RNAcentral